RNAcentral lists this non-coding RNA (26 nucleotides) under Rattus norvegicus (Norway rat). The record is from RNAcentral. Lineage: Eukaryota; Metazoa; Chordata; Mammalia; Rodentia; Muridae.
UGGGAUGGUCUUGAUUACUGCAGUGU